RNAcentral lists this ribosomal RNA (2456 nucleotides) under Escherichia coli. RNAcentral describes it as "partial 23S ribosomal RNA". It matches the Rfam family "Bacterial large subunit ribosomal RNA", at positions 465 to 2925 of the family's 2925-position model. The record is from RNAcentral. Lineage: Bacteria; Pseudomonadati; Pseudomonadota; Gammaproteobacteria; Enterobacterales; Enterobacteriaceae.
GCUAAAUACUCUCUAGUGACCGAUAGUGAACCAGUACCGUGAGGGAAAGGUGAAAAGCACCCCGGAAGGGGAGUGAAAUAGAACCUGAAACCGUGUGCUUACAAGUAGUCAGAGCCCGUUAAUGGGUGAUGGCGUGCCUUUUGUAGAAUGAACCGGCGAGUUACGAUUUGAUGCAAGGUUAAGCAGUAAAUGUGGAGCCGUAGCGAAAGCGAGUCUGAAUAGGGCGUUUAGUAUUUGGUCGUAGACCCGAAACCAGGUGAUCUACCCUUGGUCAGGUUGAAGUUCAGGUAACACUGAAUGGAGGACCGAACCGACUUACGUUGAAAAGUGAGCGGAUGAACUGAGGGUAGCGGAGAAAUUCCAAUCGAACCUGGAGAUAGCUGGUUCUCUCCGAAAUAGCUUUAGGGCUAGCCUCAAGUGAUGAUUAUUGGAGGUAGAGCACUGUUUGGACGAGGGGCCCCUCUCGGGUUACCGAAUUCAGACAAACUCCGAAUGCCAAUUAAUUUAACUUGGGAGUCAGAACAUGGGUGAUAAGGUCCGUGUUCGAAAGGGAAACAGCCCAGACCACCAGCUAAGGUCCCAAAAUAUAUGUUAAGUGGAAAAGGAUGUGGCGUUGCCCAGACAACUAGGAUGUUGGCUUAGAAGCAGCCAUCAUUUAAAGAGUGCGUAAUAGCUCACUAGUCGAGUGACACUGCGCCGAAAAUGUACCGGGGCUAAACAUAUUACCGAAGCUGUGGAUUGUCCUUUGGACAAUGGUAGGAGAGCGUUCUAAGGGCGUUGAAGCAUGAUCGUAAGGACAUGUGGAGCGCUUAGAAGUGAGAAUGCCGGUGUGAGUAGCGAAAGACGGGUGAGAAUCCCGUCCACCGAUUGACUAAGGUUUCCAGAGGAAGGCUCGUCCGCUCUGGGUUAGUCGGGUCCUAAGCUGAGGCCGACAGGCGUAGGCGAUGGAUAACAGGUUGAUAUUCCUGUACCACCUAUAAUCGUUUUAAUCGAUGGGGGGACGCAGUAGGAUAGGCGAAGCGUGCGAUUGGAUUGCACGUCUAAGCAGUAAGGCUGAGUAUUAGGCAAAUCCGGUACUCGUUAAGGCUGAGCUGUGAUGGGGAGAAGACAUUGUGUCUUCGAGUCGUUGAUUUCACACUGCCGAGAAAAGCCUCUAGAUAGAAAAUAGGUGCCCGUACCGCAAACCGACACAGGUAGUCAAGAUGAGAAUUCUAAGGUGAGCGAGCGAACUCUCGUUAAGGAACUCGGCAAAAUGACCCCGUAACUUCGGGAGAAGGGGUGCUCUUUAGGGUUAACGCCCAGAAGAGCCGCAGUGAAUAGGCCCAAGCGACUGUUUAUCAAAAACACAGGUCUCUGCUAAACCGUAAGGUGAUGUAUAGGGGCUGACGCCUGCCCGGUGCUGGAAGGUUAAGAGGAGUGGUUAGCUUCUGCGAAGCUACGAAUCGAAGCCCCAGUAAACGGCGGCCGUAACUAUAACGGUCCUAAGGUAGCGAAAUUCCUUGUCGGGUAAGUUCCGACCCGCACGAAAGGCGUAACGAUUUGGGCACUGUCUCAACGAGAGACUCGGUGAAAUCAUAGUACCUGUGAAGAUGCAGGUUACCCGCGACAGGACGGAAAGACCCCGUGGAGCUUUACUGUAGCCUGAUAUUGAAAUUCGGCACAGCUUGUACAGGAUAGGUAGGAGCCUUUGAAACGUGAGCGCUAGCUUACGUGGAGGCGCUGGUGGGAUACUACCCUAGCUGUGUUGGCUUUCUAACCCGCACCACUUAUCGUGGUGGGAGACAGUGUCAGGCGGGCAGUUUGACUGGGGCGGUCGCCUCCUAAAGAGUAACGGAGGCGCUCAAAGGUUCCCUCAGAAUGGUUGGAAAUCAUUCAUAGAGUGUAAAGGCAUAAGGGAGCUUGACUGCGAGACCUACAAGUCGAGCAGGGUCGAAAGACGGACUUAGUGAUCCGGUGGUUCCGCAUGGAAGGGCCAUCGCUCAACGGAUAAAAGCUACCCCGGGGAUAACAGGCUUAUCUCCCCCAAGAGUUCACAUCGACGGGGAGGUUUGGCACCUCGAUGUCGGCUCAUCGCAUCCUGGGGCUGUAGUCGGUCCCAAGGGUUGGGCUGUUCGCCCAUUAAAGCGGUACGCGAGCUGGGUUCAGAACGUCGUGAGACAGUUCGGUCCCUAUCCGUCGUGGGCGUAGGAAAUUUGAGAGGAGCUGUCCUUAGUACGAGAGGACCGGGAUGGACAUACCUCUGGUGUACCAGUUGUCGUGCCAACGGCAUAGCUGGGUAGCUAUGUGUGGACGGGAUAAGUGCUGAAAGCAUCUAAGCAUGAAGCCCCCCUCAAGAUGAGAUUUCCCAUAGCGCAAGCUAGUAAGAUCCCUGAAAGAUGAUCAGGUUGAUAGGUCAGAGGUGGAAGCGUGGCGACAUGUGUAGCUGACUGAUACUAAUCGAUCGAGGACUUAACCAA